Molecule: long non-coding RNA, 615 nt
Filed under: Struthio camelus australis
Lineage: Eukaryota; Metazoa; Chordata; Aves; Struthioniformes; Struthionidae
Description: lncRNA (ENSSCUG00000014827.1)
Source: RNAcentral
CUAUUUUUAACCUGGAUGGGUUCUGUGAUUUGUUUCGCACACAGCAUUCAAACUGGCACAGCUGAGGGAAGAGCGAGCGCUGGGAACAGGAGAAGGGAAAGCAGGGGCUGCUUAUGUUGGCACUGCUACUAAAAGAAGUACUCAUCAAACUGAAGCCUCAGUCUCUUCGCAUCUCACAUCUGUAAAGUGGAAAUGAUGAUAGCCUCACAUCACCUCUCUGAAAGGAUCAAACUGGUAGCUGCCGUAAAAGCCUGUGUAACUUGUCAGAGCAAUUCUCUACCCUGGCAAGUUACACAAGCCGCGGAGCUGCUCUCUGCCCCUGGGCGUCCUGCCUCCCUCUGCCUUCUGCCUGCAUGGGUGACUCCUCCUCUCCGUCCUUCUUCAAAGGCAUCAGCUAUACUCACUUUUAGGGAAAUUGGCAGAAUUCUCCUUAGCUGCACCGCGGGACAUGUGGCCAAUGUGCUCUGGAGCGGGCCAGUCUGCCUCUCAGGUCUCAAUGGGUUUCGUGAACGAUGGAGGGACCCUUUGCUUCAGUGGCUGCCUUUGCUGCAAGAGAUGGGCCACGGCUCUGAGGCCCAGAAGCCAAUACUCAUAACCUGCUGCAUUGGACACUAA